CAAAACAGGUUAUAACCUAUAGCCUGUCAUACAAACCAGGUUAUAACCUUUAGCCUGUCAUACAAAACAGGUUAUAACCUAUAGCCUGUCAUACAAAACAGGUUAUAACCUUUAGCCUGUCAUACAAAACAGGUUAUAACCUAUAGCCUGUCAUACAAAACAGGUGAUAACCUUUAGCCUAUCAUACAAAACAGGUUAUAACCUUUAGCCUGUCAUACAAAACAGGUUAUAACCUAUAGCCUGUCAUACAAAACAGGUUAUAACCUAUAGCCUGUCAUACAAAACAGGUUAUAACCUAUAGCCUGUCAUACAAAACAGGUUAUAACCAUAGCCUAUCAUCCAUAACAGUUUAUCAAAUGCACUUGUUAUUCAAAUAUCCAGCCAAUCUAGACAGUUUGGGUGAAUUGUGACAUGAUAGAUGUCUGUGUAAGUCUGCAACUCAAAGUGUCUAUGGGUGACUUCCUUUUCUGAGAGAACGUGCUAUCCUGUACGGUAUCCAAAUUAGGACUAACUGCUUGUGACUCCGAGUCGGUCCUAAUAUUGAUACCGCAAUCAUGAUGUGGCUGAUGGGAGAAUGACAACAGGAAGAGGGCAUUAAAUGGGAUGGACACCUUCCUAACAGUAUUGAGAAUGAGAUCUUGAAUGGGUUUUUCCAAAUGUCGUUUUUUUUCUCCCCAUUACUAAACUACAUGUCCAGAAUGAUCACGUCGUUCUUCAUAAAUAAUAGUGAUGUGCGCUCUAAAUAAUAUAUUACAUUUUAUCAUAAAAAGUACCCUCCCCAAACCCACCCACAGUCAAUGAGUUAACUAGCAAUUUGUCCUUCAGUUGCUCUAUGGAACUGUACAAUGGAAGAAGAAAAAAACAUGGCACCCUAUUCCCUAUAUAGUGCACUACUUUUGACCAAAGUCCAUAGGGCUUGAGUCAAAAGUAGGGCACGAAAUAGGGAAUAGGAUUCCAUUCGGGACUGACUCAAUAUUUUUCAUGUUGUCUUGCUUCAGCGGUCCUUUCUCCAUGGUAAUACACAUGUACAGCAUACAAGAAAAUAUAGAGCCAUGGUCUGCCUGUCUGUCGUUCAGAAGAGACAAGACUAUGUCGACAGAACUUCAUAGCUCAUCUGUUACCCUGCACUAAGGGCGAGGCAAAGAGAGAAAAAAAAAAUCAGGUUUCAUAUUUUCAUACAGAUCUCCAUACAAAUAAAGUGACCAACGAAGAGAGAAACGAAGAAUGGAAAAGCAAACGUAUAGGCACAUAGAACAUCUCCAUUUUUCUCAACAAAUUAAAAAUACAUUUAAAAAAUAAAGUAUUUAAAAGAAAAUACCACUCAAAAAAAAAAAAACAAUGUUGUGUUUCAUUAGUCCACUGUUGAAACAAUCCUAAAAAUGUUUUGCAGGUCAGCAAUCUAGUUUCCAAGAUGUAUAAUGUUAAAAUUCUAGAACGUGUCCUAAACGCAUCAUACUGUGACAUGUUCUGGACUUUUCAAUAUUCUAGAUCUUGAAAACUAGAUUUUGUUUUGUUGAAUUUUCCUUUAAGGGCAAACAGAUGAAAAAGAAAACCCCGGAUGUAGAAUGAGAGAAACUCGAGAGUUUGUUGUGACGAAAUAAAGACAUCUGUGUUCUGUGAUGAGUCGUCUGAUCUGUGACUUUUCUUUCCCUCUAUUCUAAACCAUUUGAAUGUCUCACUGGCACAGACAUCAAUACCAUAUUCAGCAUUGUUACUAUUUCCAGCUGGUGUCCUAAUAUGAAUCCUAACAUUUGAUACAGUAUAAUGAAUUCAACCCUUUAUCUCCUGCGUUCUAAUCUAAACAUGUUCUGAAUGACAAUGUAG
This is a long non-coding RNA of Oncorhynchus tshawytscha (Chinook salmon), 1824 nucleotides long. The record is from Ensembl. NCBI's taxonomy places the organism in Eukaryota, Metazoa, Chordata, Actinopteri, Salmoniformes, Salmonidae.